Molecule: ribosomal RNA, 498 nt
Filed under: uncultured soil bacterium
Lineage: Bacteria
Description: bacterial SSU rRNA
Rfam family: Bacterial small subunit ribosomal RNA
Source: RNAcentral
AGAUUGAACGCUGGCGGCAUGCCUUACACAUGCAAGUCGAACGGCAGCACGGGAGCAAUCCUGGUGGCGAGUGGCGAACGGGUGAGUAAUACAUCGGAACGUGCCCAGUAGUGGGGGAUAGCCCGGCGAAAGCCGGAUUAAUACCGCAUACGACCUAUGGGUGAAAGCGGGGGAUCGCAAGACCUCGCGUUAUUGGAGCGGCCGAUGGCAGAUUAGGUUGUUGGUGAGGUAAAAGCUCACCAAGCCGACGAUCUGUAGCUGGUUUGAGAGGACGACCAGCCACACUGGGACUGAGACACGGCCCAGACUCCUACGGGAGGCAGCAGUGGGGAAUUUUGGACAAUGGGCGCAAGCCUGAUCCAGCCAUGCCGCGUGCGGGAAGAAGGCCUUCGGGUUGUAAACCGCUUUUGCAGGAAGAAACGGUCUGAUCCAAUACAUCGGACUAAUGAACGGUACCUGAAGAAUAAGCAACCGGCUAAACUACGUCGCCAGCAGCCG